AGCCAGGACUCGAACUCAGGCCAUCUGAUGUCAGAGUCCAGGCUUAUUACCCACCUAUUCUACCUACGGUAAGAGAAAGCACGGCCAGAGAGUCACCUAGCUUGUGUUCUUUUCAGUGCCUCGAAAUAUAAGGGCCCUUAGCAAAGUGCUGGCGCAUAGUAAGUGCUCAAUAAAUUAUGAUAAAUUAUUUUUAUGAGCAGCCAGGAACCAGCUAGGCUAUGGCCUGCCUGAGCCCCCAGCAAAGGCUCUGCGGGAGGCAGAAAAUGCAUGUUCGGGAAGAAAAUUGAUUUACGUCAGAUGCCAAGCAGUCAGAAAUAACUGGCAGCAGAGGAAAGACCAGACAGAAUGUGUGAUCGAUGAUCUGGUUUCCAUCUCUACUGACUAGCUGGAGUCUUCUAGACUUGUUAUAUCAUUGGAAUCAACCGGCAGAAUACACCCAGUGGAAGGAAGUACCUCAACUCCCAGAACCAAAUUUCCACUACCAAUGGUUGUUGUGGCCACUUGGUGAAUUAAAAAGAAUCACCCUUUCCUCGGAGCUCUUCACUGUCAACUGCCCCAAAACAGUCCUGGGUAGGAUGACACUACAGUCAAUACUGCCCCGUGGAUUUGUGAAAUGAACAACCUGCUCAACAGCACAGAUCCAGUGACUCUACCUGUGCCCACCCCCUCCCCACCCUCACCCCCCACCUUCUUUCCCAGGGUUACUACCCGAGAUCGGUCCCUCCACCUGUGUUCUGCACACCCCUCUCCUCCCAUCCUGUCGUCUUUGCCCUCAUAAACUAUU
Molecule: long non-coding RNA, 784 nt
Organism: Herpailurus yagouaroundi (jaguarundi)
Lineage: Eukaryota; Metazoa; Chordata; Mammalia; Carnivora; Felidae
Exons: 3
Source: RefSeq, a predicted model, not a curated record